GACGAACGCUGGCGGCGUGCUUAACACAUGCAAGUCGAACGGAAAGGCCCUGCUUGCUGGGUACUCGAGUGGCGAACGGGUGAGUAACACGUGGGUGCUCUGCCCUGCACUUCGGGAUAAGCCUGGGAAACUGGGUCUAAUACCGGAUAGGAGCCAGUUUUAGUGUGAUGGUUGGAAAGUUUUUUCGGUGUAGGAUGAGCUCGCGGCCUAUCAGCUUGUUGGUGGGGUAAUGGCCUACCAAGGCGGCGACGGGUAGCCGGCCUGAGAGGGUGGACGGCCACAUUGGGACUGAGAUACGGCCCAGACUCCUACGGGAGGCAGCAGUGGGGAAUAUUGCACAAUGGGCGCAAGCCUGAUGCAGCGACGCCGCGUGGGGGAUGACGGCCUUCGGGUUGUAAACUCCUUUCGCUAGGGACGAAGCUUUUGUGACGGUACCUAGAUAAGAAGCACCGGCUAACUACGUG
This 464-nucleotide ribosomal RNA is filed under the name uncultured bacterium. RNAcentral's name for it is "partial 16S ribosomal RNA". It matches the Rfam family "Bacterial small subunit ribosomal RNA", at positions 28 to 507 of the family's 1533-position model. The record is from RNAcentral.